GUAACACUGAAUGGAGGACCGAACCGACUUACGUUGAAAAGUGAGCGGAUGAACUGAGGGUAGCGGAGAAAUUCCAAUCGAACCUGGAGAUAGCUGGUUCUCUCCGAAAUAGCUUUAGGGCUAGCCUCAAGUGAUGAUUAUUGGAGGUAGAGCACUGUUUGGACGAGGGGCCCCUCUCGGGUUACCGAAUUCAGACAAACUCCGAAUGCCAAUUAAUUUAACUUGGGAGUCAGAACAUGGGUGAUAAGGUCCGUGUUCGAAAGGGAAACAGCCCAGACCACCAGCUAAGGUCCCAAAAUAUAUGUUAAGUGGAAAAGGAUGUGGCGUUGCCCAGACAACUAGGAUGUUGGCUUAGAAGCAGCCAUCAUUUAAAGAGUGCGUAAUAGCUCACUAGUCGAGUGACACUGCGCCGAAAAUGUACCGGGGCUAAACAUAUUACCGAAGCUGUGGAUUGUCCUUUGGACAAUGGUAGGAGAGCGUUCUAAGGGCGUUGAAGCAUGAUCGUAAGGACAUGUGGAGCGCUUAGAAGUGAGAAUGCCGGUGUGAGUAGCGAAAGACGGGUGAGAAUCCCGUCCACCGAUUGACUAAGGUUUCCAGAGGAAGGCUCGUCCGCUCUGGGUUAGUCGGGUCCUAAGCUGAGGCCGACAGGCGUAGGCGAUGGAUAACAGGUUGAUAUUCCUGUACCACCUAUAAUCGUUUUAAUCGAUGGGGGGACGCAGUAGGAUAGGCGAAGCGUGCGAUUGGAUUGCACGUCUAAGCAGUAAGGCUGAGUAUUAGGCAAAUCCGGUACUCGUUAAGGCUGA
RNAcentral lists this ribosomal RNA (803 nucleotides) under Staphylococcus aureus. Its description in RNAcentral is "partial 23S ribosomal RNA". It matches the Rfam family "Bacterial large subunit ribosomal RNA", at positions 756 to 1559 of the family's 2925-position model. The record is from RNAcentral. Lineage: Bacteria; Bacillati; Bacillota; Bacilli; Caryophanales; Staphylococcaceae.